Molecule: non-coding RNA, 638 nt
Organism: Elaeis guineensis (African oil palm)
Lineage: Eukaryota; Viridiplantae; Streptophyta; Magnoliopsida; Arecales; Arecaceae
Source: RefSeq, a predicted model, not a curated record
AUGCGAGAUCUAAUCUAACAACCUUAGAUUGCAUGACGACACGACAUCAUUCGAUAUACGGAGAAAUGGUAUAUUCUAGCACCCAAAGCAUCUCAUCUCUACUCGUCACUGCCGAUCCUUUCGAUCUCCUUUCCCCCUCCAAUCACUGCAAGAGCGUCGAAAUUGAUUGGUGACUUUUUUUCUCUCAUCUUUGAAUCCGAUGGCGAAGCCGGAGUUCUUGAAGAGGGAGGAGGACUUCUUCCCGUUUUCCAUCUUGGAUUCUCGAGAAGGAACAUGUCCGAGCAUUCAUCAAAGAUAGUGGGGACAGAGAUGUGCUUGUGCUACAUGUUCAAGAUCCAUUUCACAGAUUAUUGCUGCAUGGUGUAUGUGAGGAAUGCUGACACAGAUUAGGAAGAAAUUGUGUUCUCAAGAGAUACCUCCAAAUAUCGCACUAUUCCAUUUUCCCAAAAUGGCAAAGAAUGGGGUUUUAUAGUUUGCUUAAAGGGAAACCCAUAUAUAUUAAUUGAUUGUAAAUGUAAUCACUUGCAAAUGGAAAUUAUUUAUCAUAGAGAGCUAUUGGCUUAACAUAUCGGCACUGCUUCAGAUACAAUGGUGGAUUAAGUAGCUACAGCUUAAUAAUAUAAUAAUAUUCAUGUCAA